Molecule: unclassified non-coding RNA, 80 nt
Organism: Peromyscus maniculatus bairdii (prairie deer mouse)
Lineage: Eukaryota; Metazoa; Chordata; Mammalia; Rodentia; Cricetidae
Source: Ensembl
CUGAGCCGUUGUUACCUGCAGCUGAUGAGCUCCAAAAAGAGCGAAACCUCUUAGGUCCUGCAGUACUGGCUUACGGUAGG